Molecule: ribosomal RNA, 2195 nt
Filed under: Campylobacter jejuni
Lineage: Bacteria; Pseudomonadati; Campylobacterota; Epsilonproteobacteria; Campylobacterales; Campylobacteraceae
Description: partial 23S ribosomal RNA
Rfam family: Bacterial large subunit ribosomal RNA
Source: RNAcentral
AGUUGAAGCUAGUGUAAGAACUAGUGGAGGACUGAACCCAUAGGCGUUGAAAAGCCCCGGGAUGACUUGUGGAUAGGGGUGAAAGGCCAAUCAAACUUCGUGAUAGCUGGUUCUCUCCGAAAUAUAUUUAGGUAUAGCGUUGUGUCGUAAUAUAAGGGGGUAGAGCACUGAAUGGGCUAGGGCAUACACCAAUGUACCAAACCCUAUCAAACUCCGAAUACCUUAUAUGUAAUCACAGCAGUCAGGCGGCGAGUGAUAAAAUCCGUCGUCAAGAGGGAAACAACCCAGACUACCAGCUAAGGUCCCUAAGUCUUACUUAAGUGGAAAACGAUGUGAAGUUACUUAAACAACCAGGAGGUUGGCUUAGAAGCAGCCAUCCUUUAAAGAAAGCGUAAUAGCUCACUGGUCUAGUGAUUUUGCGCGGAAAAUAUAACGGGGCUAAAGUAAGUACCGAAGCUGUAGACUUAGUUUACUAAGUGGUAGGAGAGCGUUCUAUUUGCGUCGAAGGUAUACCGGUAAGGAGUGCUGGAGCGAAUAGAAGUGAGCAUGCAGGCAUGAGUAGCGAUAAUUAAUGUGAGAAUCAUUAACGCCGUAAACCCAAGGUUUCCUACGCGAUGCUCGUCAUCGUAGGGUUAGUCGGGUCCUAAGUCGAGUCCGAAAGGGGUAGACGAUGGCAAAUUGGUUAAUAUUCCAAUACCAACAUUAGUGUGCGAUGGAAGGACGCUUAGGGCUAAGGGGGCUAGCGGAUGGAAGUGCUAGUCUAAGGUCGUAGGAGGUUAUACAGGCAAAUCCGUAUAACAAUACUCCGAGAACUGAAAGGCUUUUUGAAGUCUUCGGAUGGAUAGAAGAACCCCUGAUGCCGUCGAGCCAAGAAAAGUUUCUAAGUUUAGCUAAUGUUGCCCGUACCGUAAACCGACACAGGUGGGUGGGAUGAGUAUUCUAAGGCGCGUGGAAGAACUCUCUUUAAGGAACUCUGCAAAAUAGCACCGUAUCUUCGGUAUAAGGUGUGGUUAGCUUUGUAUUAGGAUUUACUCCGAAAGCAAGGAAACUUACAACAAAGAGUCCCUCCCGACUGUUUACCAAAAACACAGCACUCUGCUAACUCGUAAGAGGAUGUAUAGGGUGUGACGCCUGCCCGGUGCUCGAAGGUUAAUUGAUGGGGUUAGCAUUAGCGAAGCUCUUGAUCGAAGCCCGAGUAAACGGCGGCCGUAACUAUAACGGUCCUAAGGUAGCGAAAUUCCUUGUCGGUUAAAUACCGACCUGCAUGAAUGGCGUAACGAGAUGGGAGCUGUCUCAAAGAGGGAUCCAGUGAAAUUGUAGUGGAGGUGAAAAUUCCUCCUACCCGCGGCAAGACGGAAAGACCCCGUGGACCUUUACUACAGCUUGACACUGCUACUUGGAUAAGAAUGUGCAGGAUAGGUGGGAGGCUUUGAGUAUAUGACGCCAGUUGUAUAUGAGCCAUUGUUGAGAUACCACUCUUUCUUAUUUGGGUAGCUAACCAGCUUGAGUUAUCCUCAAGUGGGACAAUGUCUGGUGGGUAGUUUGACUGGGGCGGUCGCCUCCCAAAUAAUAACGGAGGCUUACAAAGGUUGGCUCAGAACGGUUGGAAAUCGUUCGUAGAGUAUAAAGGUAUAAGCCAGCUUAACUGCAAGACAUACAAGUCAAGCAGAGACGAAAGUCGGUCUUAGUGAUCCGGUGGUUCUGUGUGGAAGGGCCAUCGCUCAAAGGAUAAAAGGUACCCCGGGGAUAACAGGCUGAUCUCCCCCAAGAGCUCACAUCGACGGGGAGGUUUGGCACCUCGAUGUCGGCUCAUCGCAUCCUGGGGCUGGAGCAGGUCCCAAGGGUAUGGCUGUUCGCCAUUUAAAGCGGUACGCGAGCUGGGUUCAGAACGUCGUGAGACAGUUCGGUCCCUAUCUGCCGUGGGCGUAAGAAGAUUGAAGAGAUUUGACCCUAGUACGAGAGGACCGGGUUGAACAAACCACUGGUGUAGCUGUUGUUCUGCCAAGAGCAUCGCAGCGUAGCUAAGUUUGGAAAGGAUAAACGCUGAAAGCAUCUAAGCGUGAAGCCAACUCUAAGAUGAAUCUUCUCUAAGCUCUCUAGAAGACUACUAGUUUGAUAGGCUGGGUGUGUAAUGGAUGAAAGUCCUUUAGCUGACCAGUACUAAUAGAGCGUUUGGCUUAUCUUUAAUAAAGCAU